UGUCAACGUCAGCCUUAGGCAAGUUGACGUCUACUUCAGGGCCCUCUGCUUUGAAGCCAGGCAUGCUGAACUUGGGCAUUUUCAUCUUGGGCAUCUUCAGGUGCCAGUCUGGGCCAUGAACAUCCACAUCUGGGGCAUCAAUGUCCACUUUGGGCCCUCUGAUGUCAACAUCUGGCACUUUCAUUUCACCUUCUACCUUGGGAACAGACACAUCCAUAUCCCCUUUGACUUUGGGGCCUUUCAAGUGUAAGUCCACAUCAGGCAUGGAGAUCUUGGGGGCCUUGAAGUGCAUCUCAGGCAUCUUAAACUUGGGCCCUUUCAACUUUGCAUCAGGACACUC
This 340-nucleotide long non-coding RNA is filed under the name Homo sapiens (human). Its description in RNAcentral is "HSALNT0176193". Lineage: Eukaryota; Metazoa; Chordata; Mammalia; Primates; Hominidae. The record is from RNAcentral.